CAAGGCUUAUUUAUUUUGUGUGGGUGGAGGGAUGUAAAGGCAGGAGGUGAAGGGCAGAGCAGAUCAGUGUAGCCAGCAGUGUUCUCACCUGUAUGCAUCUCAUGCUCAGUGUGAACCUGGCAGGAAUGUACCAUGCAGAUCCCACAAACCCACGCUCUGUCUGGCAUCCUUCGGAUAGGAGGUGUUGGCUGCAGAACCCCAGUUCGUGGAGUCAAUGAAGAUGACAGCCCGCAGAGGACACAGUGUCUGACAGGCUCUGAGCAGCACUUCGUUUAGAGACAUUUGGGACCGAAGGGGAGCUGUCUUGUCGCUAGAUGGCACCGCAUUGCCUUGCAGGAGACUACGUGUGUGUUGCGAGGGUCAGGCAAAGCUCUGCCCCUACAAGCAAGCAUUGCAGCCUAACAUACUCUUCUGAUCACCGCUCGGUUUAAUCUCAUUACUGCUAACUACACCCUUUUGGACCCCUUUAAUCGGCAUCUUGGUGAUAUCCUCAGUGGCAGCUUCCUCCGGAUCAUCUGAUAGCAUUAGUGUGGCUGGGGAUAAAGCCCAGAUGGCUUAGCUGCCUGGGAAUGGGCUUUCCUAUGAGAAAUAGGCAGCUUUGCUCUUUGAGCAACGCUCAAGACUCCCAUAGAGUCUCAGAGGUGACUAAGCUGCGUUUGUGAAGAAGUACAGCAAUUGUGCUUUGAAUUCAUGUGUAAUUACUCAUCUUGGAACUGUUGCAGGCACGAGAGUUUGCUGAUAAGCCGAAUGCCAGGCAGCAAAGCUGUCCUGAACACCACCAAGCUGCUGUUCACCAUACCACAAUAGCCUAAACCUCCCAAAUGUGCUCUCUGCUUAAUCUUAUAAACUUUAUGUGGCUUCGAGUCAUUGGACACUCUGCCUUCCUCAUCCCAGGUCAAUGCAUCAGCCAGGUGCCCACUCCUCAGUCAGAAGAAAAGGGCUGUGAAGCUGUCUAUGGGUGAUGGUGAGGACAUUCCUGCUGGGAUAUGUGAAACACUGAUGUUUCCCACUGUGGAAGUGGCCAGGUCCUGGAUAAGUCUUAUCCCAGGAGAGAUAUGGGACAGCUGGUUCCCAAGCGUAGCUAAGAAGCAUUACAACUAUCUAUGAGCCAAAGCCAUGUCUCUGAACAAAUCCAUUGCCUACAAUGGAGGUAGCUCUCAUAUUCCCAGCUCCUUUACUGGCUGCAGAUGCCUCUCCAGAAGAAUCCUACGCCAGCACCUUCCAAAGAAGCAGCGGCCAAGAGGACAUGAAGUCUUUGCUAUUGUGGGGCUGUGAGUCAGAGGCUGGAGAGUGGUGUCAGUCUCUAAGAUAAACCAUGAAUCAUCGUGAACCAACCAGAACAAGAGAUGCUCCUCACGCAGCUAAUUCUGUGAUUGUAUUUAUCAGGAUGGAGUGGUGACUUCACAUGUUUUGAUAUUAAAAAAAUAUCCUGGGAACACUGUGGAAAGUUCAGCUCCUUCGUUUGUCUGUGUGCUCAUGUCAGAGACUUGUUUCCCCAUGCAGCUGGGUUAUUAAAUACAGCGUCUGAUAUCCAGGCAGUGCCUGAUUUACUUUUCCUCUUGUGUGCAAGAAGUGCAAGGAAAAGAGAAUAGACCCUAAGCAGAUGGGAGAUGAGGGUCCCUGGAUUCCUGAUCCAGAUCUGAAGCAUGCAGGAUGGUCCCUUGGUCUCAAAUCCAACUACUAUGGAAUUUAAAGAGAGAUGUAUUUCUCUGCACCAAACCUACAAAACCUUCCUGGCAAUAUUCAACCUUUUUCUUCUCCCUCUGCACUGAUGCUUCUUGCCUUGAAAUACCCCUGACCUGCCAUAGUCCUGAUGAUACCACAGCAUUAGGGAUCACUUAUGUAGCCUAUCUCUGGUCAAAGAUGACACCAGUGCUGCCAGGACCUAGGCUCCUUAAUCGGGUACAAAGGGACCUCUCUAUUACUCAUUCCAAACUAAACACAGAUGUAAUUCUGCCCCAGUGUUUAAUCCCAGCUAUUUUAAAAUGCUUGGAGUCAGGAUGGCUCUGCGGACUCAUCUCUGGCCCAGUUUCCAGCUAGCUGGGAUGUGCCAGCUCUGUGCAAUAGGAUCAUUCAGGGCUGGAAGGGGUAUAACUGCUUUUGUGAGGCCAUCUGCCCUCUGCACCAUGCACCCUGUCCUUGUAUGUACCCCUGCAUUCCCAGUUCUGGCAGCAUCUACUGGUCUCUGCCCCAGGAUUGGGUGGGAAAUACAAACUAAGCGCAAGGACCAAGUUGUUCCCUUUGCAGUUACAGCUGGGAGUAGAGUCGUGAUGAUGACUGGUAACCGAAAUAAAUCCUACUCACCACUUCUGCCCAUGGCUGAGUCAUUGGCUGUUUCUGUCACUGAGGAGAUGGUUGUCUGUCUGUCAUGGGAGAUCCUUCGUUCCUGUGUAGGAGCAACAGUGAGGGGUGAAAGUGUGCAUUCAGAGAACCCAUUGGAAAGUGUGCUUGGCAAGCAUUCAUCAGCCUAGAGACUUGGAUGAAAUACGGCAAAUAAAGAGAGAAGAGGCAUUUCCUGGGGGGAGACAAGAAGGGGCUGGACGCACUGAAUGGUAUCAUCUUUCCAGGAUCAGAGGAUUCAAAGACUGGGCAGCACUCACCAAUAGGACGGAUCAUACUUUAAACUAAAAGAGGAGAGAUUUAGAUUAGAUGUGGUGGAAAUUUUUCACUGGGAACAAGGACAGCUGUGAUUACUCACACCUCAGCAGUGUCUGGAGCAGAAUAGAAAGGGUUGUGCAAACAGACACGCACACAAUCAUUGACUGUGAGAAGAGAGUGGCAUUAAGAUGGAAAAUGUGAAUGGUCUGCUCUGAUGGACGCACCAAAGCCCAGAAAUGGGUGGUGAGGAAGCAUCCCCAGCAGCAGGACAAAAGGUGACUUGUGCAGCAGUGGAGUCACUGAGUCUGCCCUGUUGCCCUCAGUCUCCACUCUGACUGGAGAUGGUGUUGCAAAAUUAUUUUCCCAUGUGAUUCUUUGCAUCAGUCUAUGGAAGAAUGGCUUCCAGAAAGGCAGAGCCAAGCCAUGUCUGUGCAUACAGUGCCUGAAAAGAGUCAGUCUGCUGCAAAACCCUCCAUGGCUGCGUAGGGAGCAGAAGACACAAGGUGACAGCAUGGACAGCAGCAGCCUGAAUAACCCAGAGGAGCCCAGUGAAACCCAGGGGCAUUGGAGGCAUGUACCUCUUACAGCUGUGGAGUGAUUUAUUGAAAACCUAACGAAGGAAUUGCCAGGCUCACUUUGUUUCCAUGGUACCAUAAAAAAUGGAUGGGAAGUGACUGGGCUGUCUUGUAGUUUGAAUGUUUCAUUGGCAUGUCGCGGAAACCUCCAGAGGAUGCCUGGAGGGCAUGAGAACUGGCUGGUGGAAUGUGCUAGUUUGUUAAUUUAAUAGGAUACAGCGUUUUCCCUUAACACUGCACAUGCAAAUCAGAGUGGUGGAUCAGGUCAGCACAUCUCCCCCAUGCUGGCAGCAGUGGUGCCCCUGGCUCACACAGUGUCCCAUAGGAUGCUCAGGUGCCCCAUCCUCCAUCACACAUCCAACAGGAUCAGGCUGUGGAGUGGGUUCUGGCCUCCAAAUGGGAAAUGAGAAGGAGUGUUUCUGUGGUGUGAAAGCCAGCCUGAAUGAUGCGACAGUAAGCAAAGCAGUAGUGGCUGGAAGAGAAAAGAUCAAUGCACACACUGAUAGGAGCAUAAAAAAGUGCAGGUUGUAGGUGGCUGGGGACUUCAUCAAUGAAUCCUGCCCCACCACAAAAGAAAAGGAUUACUGGAUAUGUACACUACAAUUAGUAAACUUACUAUAGUAUUUUUAAAUCAAGCUAUAGGGCAUGACACUCCUAAAGCUCACAAAGUGUUCUUAAAAAUCCCACAGAAAGGAUCUCAGCCUCUGAUAACUGUAGGUAGGAUUCUAUUGUUCUGUUCAUAGUUCUCUAUUCUUUUGAUUCCCAUCAAAUUCCCUCAAUGUUUCCAAAUACAAGAGUGAUACAUCUCACAUAAUUAUUGUGUGAAUGCAUGCCCAUGUGUUUAUUUGAACAUGCAUGUAUGCAUUCUAAAAUCCAAUGCACAGGCCUUUGCUUGACCCAUCACUAAAAGUGAGUCCAACCCUUCCGCUGAGUCCACGACUGAAGUCCUCUGUUGGGAAGAGUUCAGCCCUGUGACAGACACAGGCUCUUCAGAGGAUAGAAAUAAUCCAAAAUUAAUUGAGCUCAGUGGAACUCUGCUCAUUUAAGCCAGCCAAAGGCAUGUGAACUCACUGGCUUUUCCUUGUCCCUGACUGUAGCCAGGAAAGGAUCCUGGCUGAAGCAUUACUAUGAAAUACUCAGACAUCUGGAACCAGUGUAUUCCAGCAGGUACUAUUUCAUACAUUACAUACAUUCCUGCAAAGCUGUAGCAAGACUUGUGCAUGGUUUUCACACCCACAGUACUCCUGAAUGGUGGUGGGAUCCCCACCACUGUCACUAAUAGGUUUUUGUUGCUCUUUGGGGACACAGUGUCAUGGAUCCAAACUCAG
Molecule: non-coding RNA, 4501 nt
Organism: Coturnix japonica (Japanese quail)
Lineage: Eukaryota; Metazoa; Chordata; Aves; Galliformes; Phasianidae
Source: RefSeq, a predicted model, not a curated record